GUGGCAUUAUUGCUCUCUCACUCUCUGGGCUCCAAUCUCAACUUAUCUUUGAUCAUUCCUCUUCCGUAGCCCACUUCUAAGCAGCUCCUCCCCGCCACACCUUGCUCAGAGAAGUAAGCCCUAGCCUUUCCUUGAGCAUAAAUUGAAGGGCGGUAGCAGGUAUAAGCCUGGGGUCACACAUUCCAACAGGAUUCCAUCACGGGUGCAUCUGACCCACCACAAAAGGGAAGAGAGAACACGAUGAAUAUCUUUUGUUUUGGCCUGCCCAGUGUCCCUUCUUCUAGUAAUGGAAUCAUCUCUUCAUUUGGAGAAGACAACCCUCCCCCAUUAUCCAUCCACAGUUUUCAAGUGGGGCUGACUCACUUCCCAGCUCCAAAAGCCUGGGCACCUGAAUCAGGCCAGACUAAUCAGAGUCAGAGAGAGUGGACCAGGAAUGGACAUGUGACUCAAUCUAGGCCAAUGGAAAUCAUUCCAGGUACUUUUGUGGAACAGAGUGGGAAGAGAUUCUCCCUUUUUUUUAAAUAAUUUUUUCUUUUCUCCUCAAAGCCCCAGUACAUAGUUGUAUAUCCUACUUGUAAGUCCUUCUAGUUCUUCUAUGUGGGAUGCUCCCUCAGCAUGGCUUGAUGAGCAGUGUGUAGGUCCAUGCCCAGGAUCCGAACCAGUGAACCCCGGGCUGCCAAAGCGGAGUGUGCGAACUCAGCCACUAUGCCACCACACUGCCCUGAGACUCUCCCUUUUAUAGUUGAUGGAAAAUAAUUGUGAAACUGCUGAUGGCUAUUUCUGUCGUGACUUGGGAGGCUGCUAGCUGAGAAUAAGGACCAGACAGAAGAGAGAUGGAACACUGAAGACAUCUUUGACUAUCUAGAUCCAACCGUGUUUGAAGCCAAACAACCCCUACACUUACACACGUGAUGGGAGUAUACUUCCAUAUCCUCUUUGAACAACCAGCGGUACUCCAGUUGGUGUUUCUCACGUCAGCCUGGUGUCCAGAGUGAGAGUAACGUGGAACAGAGCCCCCAGCUGACCUGUGACGGACACAUAGCAUGAGAAAGAAAUAAACCUUAUUUUUUUCAACUACUGAGAUUUUGGAGUUUUUUGUUCCCACAGCUUAAUUUAGGCCAUCCUGACCAACUCUAAUGCUGACUAGUUUAGAGAGGAAAGGGAUUGUUGGUUUCUUAAUCUCUGUGUCGUUGUAUAUAGCACAACAAUGUGAAUGUAUUUAAUGCCACUGAACUAUACUCUUAAAAAAGGGUAAAAUGGUCAAUUUUAUGCUAAAUAUAUUUUACCUAAAUAAAAAAAAUAUCAUCAGCAGGCAAUCAGAUGUUUAUUAGGGGCCUAGGAGGUAAUUCUAUGUAAAUGGCUUUGAUGGCCAAAAACAUAUUCUUUCUUGCAUUCAUUCGGCAAACCUUUACUGAGCACCGCCUCUGUGUCCAUCACCAUGCUA
RNAcentral lists this long non-coding RNA (1444 nucleotides) under Equus asinus (donkey). Its description in RNAcentral is "lncRNA (ENSEASG00005035511.1)". Lineage: Eukaryota; Metazoa; Chordata; Mammalia; Perissodactyla; Equidae. The record is from RNAcentral.